Molecule: long non-coding RNA, 205 nt
Filed under: Elaeis guineensis (African oil palm)
Lineage: Eukaryota; Viridiplantae; Streptophyta; Magnoliopsida; Arecales; Arecaceae
Description: long non-coding RNA (EGUI_LNC000996)
Source: RNAcentral
UUCUUAUCUUUGGCUCAGACGAAAUUUUCUCCAACACGUGUCUUUGAACUAAUCAAAUAAUAGCUCCCUAUACUGUUUUUGGUCCUAAUCUCUGUUAUUCUUUAGAUGGAUUCAAGAUUUUGGGAAACAAGGAAUAUAUAAUCUUCUAAUGAAAGGGAACUACGUACGGUCAUCAUUAAACCAUGGAAGUUGAAUUUCAUGCCUC